This is a non-coding RNA of Arachis ipaensis, 96 nucleotides long. The record is from RefSeq and is a predicted model, not a curated record. NCBI's taxonomy places the organism in Eukaryota, Viridiplantae, Streptophyta, Magnoliopsida, Fabales, Fabaceae.
AAACUCUUCGUAGAUUGGCUCAGAAUUGUGAGGCUGCUAGGAAGAGUCGAUUGAGGAAGAAGCAAUUGGAGAAUAGUAGAGUUAGGCUUGCACAAU